GAUGAACGCUGGCGGCGUGCCUAAUACAUGCAAGUCGAGCGAACAGACGAGGAGCUUGCUCCUCUGACGUUAGCGGCGGACGGGUGAGUAACACGUGGAUAACCUACCCAUAAGACUGGGAUAACUUCGGGAAACCGGAGCUAAUACCGGAUAAUAUAUUGAACCGCAUGGUUCAAUAGUGAAAGACGGUUUUGCUGUCACUUAUAGAUGGAUCCGCGCCGCAUUAGCUAGUUGGUAAGGUAACGGCUUACCAAGGCAACGAUGCGUAGCCGACCUGAGAGGGUGAUCGGCCACACUGGAACUGAGACACGGUCCAGACUCCUACGGGAGGCAGCAGUAGGGAAUCUUCCGCAAUGGGCGAAAGCCUGACGGAGCAACGCCGCGUGAGUGAUGAAGGGCUUCGGAUCGUAAAACUCUGUUAUUAGGGAAGAACAAAUGUGUAAGUAACGAUGCACGUCUUGACGGUACCUAAGCAGAAAGCCACGGCUAACUACGG
Molecule: ribosomal RNA, 496 nt
Filed under: uncultured bacterium
Lineage: Bacteria
Description: partial 16S ribosomal RNA
Rfam family: Bacterial small subunit ribosomal RNA
Source: RNAcentral